GAAUAUAGUUACACCAAGGAUACAAGGCAGAUAAGGCAUUCUUAAAAUUACUGAAACAUAGUAAGGGCAUCCUAGUCAACAUUAAAAGAUAAAAGCAUUGGGAGUUCCCAAAAAUAUUUGUAGAGUACCAAAAUUGCCAACCAAUAAUAAAAAACCAUAGAUCCGAUCUGUCUGCAACAGUUAAAUUAAUGCAGUCAUAAUAGUAUUGUAUUGAAAUAAUGAAAAUAUGCAUUUCACAUACUAACUAUUAGCCCACUAAAAAUUAAGCAACCAAUCUUUCAGUAGGGCCCUUUCCGCUCCAGUUGAAUUAAAAAGCAAGCAACAAUAAGGCAAGGGUUAGUUUGACAAUAAUUAGGCCCAAUUCAGUCCCAGAAUGCCAAUUGACCACAUUACGACAAGCAAGUAGCAAUAAUCAAGCAAAUUAUUAACUCAAUAUCAUUUAUUACAGCAAAAUAGCAAUUUUGAUGUACCCCUUAACUUCUUUACUCGUAAGAGCAAUAUCCGGUAGUCAAACCACUGAAAUAAAAAUUUCUACUAAUCAUACAACAUGACAGAAAAACACAUAAAUCUGAGGCCCUCCAACAUCUCCUUUACUUGUCAAAGAACAAUCAAAGCAGGAUAAGUUAACAAGAAUGGAUAUAAUCCAUAAACAUUGAUCUGAAAGGGCUUCUUUUAUAUGGUUCUAAUUAAAGGUUGCAGAUCUGUAAAAGAAGCACAUAAAUGGCAUCUUCUUGUAAAAAAUUGAAACCGAACUGCAUGUUUAUAGUAAGGCUAUAAUAAAUUUCUUUAACCAUCACAAAUAUAUCAAAAGCAGUAAUGAACUUACUGCACCCCAUAAUGCACAUCACAAUGAUUACAAUGACCUGAAACACCGUAUUUAUCAAAAGUAAUAAUCUGAAAAGGAAAACAAAAAUAUUAAUGGUCAAUUAACAUAAUUAUGUAAUGUUAAAAGCAGCCAUGAUAUUCAAAAAAUUUACUACUCCUUAACAUAUACAAACUCAGGAACCUUAAAAAUAGUAACCUAAUAAUUUGAUCACGGUAAGAAACAGCUUAAAUAGUUAAUAGGAACCAAAAAGAUCUUACCACAUCAAUUUCAUGACUGGAGACAUCAUCUUUAAUGAUCUUCGCCAAUAAGUUAUGGUCCCAAAUUUGGCCAAAGCCAUCCUGUAACUCUGGAUGGUCCAAAACAUUCACUUGUUGAACUGGAACCUUGAGAACAGCACAAGCUUUAUAGAGUUCAUGUUUUCUAGCAUUUCCCAUACCAUCUGCAUUACCAAUCGACAAGCAUAGAAUGUGAAGAUUAUGCCCUCUCGAAAUCAGAUAGCUAAUUGUUGGAGAAAAGAACAUGGAUUCAUCAUCAGGGUGAGCAACAACCAGCAGGACAUUUUUCUUGCAAAAAGCUCCACCAUUGCUCAAAAGAAAAGUCCUGGAAGGUAACCUCGAUGUAUGGAUAAUUUUGCAUAAGGAUGCAAUCCAGAGUACAAUUAGUGACAGGACAACCACUAGCCAGCUCAUCUACCAAGCAAUUGCGUGAUACAAAGUCUUUUUUCUCUUUAUUCAGCAAUUUCUUAUCUCUUUAAUUGAAUGGCCAACCUUAGUGAGCAGAAAAUAAGUCUGCAACGAAUGAGUUACUGGAAAUCUGCUCAGAACGAUUCUGUGUUGAGACCGAUGGAACCGAAGAAAAGGAAACGAGGUGAAGUUCUCGUCCCAACAGAAAUGGCCAAGAGAAACGGCCGAAGAGCUUUUGGAGCAGAAAUUGAGAACCUGAGGAAUGAGGG
This 1778-nucleotide unclassified non-coding RNA is filed under the name Hevea brasiliensis (rubber tree). Lineage: Eukaryota; Viridiplantae; Streptophyta; Magnoliopsida; Malpighiales; Euphorbiaceae. The record is from RNAcentral.